Non-coding RNA from Oryza meridionalis, 202 nucleotides. The record is from Rfam. Lineage: Eukaryota; Viridiplantae; Streptophyta; Magnoliopsida; Poales; Poaceae.
UUUAAGUGCAACCAUGAGUUUUUAUACCUAAUUUUAAUCGUUCGUCUUAUUUGAAUUUUUUUUUCUAAUUAUUAUUUUUACUGUUAUAAGAUGAUAAAACAUGAAUAGUACUUCAUGCGCGACAUAUGUUUUUAUUUUUUUAAAAAAAAUAAAUAAGAUGGAUGAUAAAAGUUAGUCACAUAAAAUUAUGAUUGCACUUGAA